This 1464-nucleotide long non-coding RNA is filed under the name Homo sapiens (human). Its description in RNAcentral is "long non-coding RNA NONHSAT188575.1". Lineage: Eukaryota; Metazoa; Chordata; Mammalia; Primates; Hominidae. The record is from RNAcentral.
UGCAGCUGCUGCUGGGGAUAGGGGUGAGGUUCCCAGGUCAGUGGAGUUAUGUUCCUAGGAGGAUUGUGGAUGCCUCUGCUGAGUCGUGCAGGUUGUCAGGGAAGUUGGGGAAAGUCAGUAGUCACAGGUCUCACCCAGCUCCCACGCAAUCGAAAGGGCUGGUCUCACUUCCACCAUGCUCCCCCUAACAGCACCAAGCCUGUUUCCAGGCAGUGGGCAAGCAGGCCUGAGAACUUGCCCCAGGCUACCCACCUCCCAGCUGCAACAGAAAGUAGGACUUUAGUUCUUUCCCUGCCUGUGGAGUCUGCAUGCUGGAGGAUUCGUGCCCUCCCCAAGUUCUGGCCAGGAGGCUUCUCCGCCCAUUCAAAUUGUUACAAAGUUCAGCUGGGGAUUUCCUUCUCCUUGUGGCGUUUUCCCCACACCUCUGGCCACCCUCCUGAAGGAUCCCUGUGAUGACAGGCAGGAAUGGCCUGCUUGGGGACCCAGCAAGCUCACAGGGCCUUUCCUGCUGCUUCCUCUACUCCUGUAUUUCACUCAGCUGUCUACGUUGACUCAGCUCCAGGGGGUACUCCAUACUACUAGCUGCCCAGCCUGCAUCACCCCAGACAUCAGGAGUGGCUGCUCACAGAAGACCAAGGCAGAUUGGAAUAAUGGAACCCCUUCAUCAAGACCCCUCUGCACCGUCUCUUAGUCCUAGUACCUUGAGAGAGUCGUUUACGCUCUUGGAGUGUCCCUGCAUUUUUAAAGGUGUUAGCAUGAAGAACAAGGCAAUAGACAUAGACAAGGAAGCUGUUAUGAGCACAGAUCUCAUGGGAAAAGCAAAACUUUCUGCUGUUUUUGUUCAGAAAUACAGAAAUUUUCAGGAAGAUCUUUUAUGAAGGUGAUAACACUAGGGUCCCUACUCAGGACACCAGCUGAACAGACAAGAUUUCCCUGUUACUUGUGGUUUGGUCUGUUAAGCACAAUCCCACCUCGAUGCUGCCAUUAGGCAGAUAGUUUAUGCGUCUCUCCAAACUUCCCAGUGGAGACCUUUAUUUUCAGACUUGGAGGACUGGGAGUGUGGAGCACAGAGGAAAAAGAACGUGAAGUUCUGACUAAUUACGAGCUGGGGGAGGGAUGAAGCAGUGAGAAAAUGGUGAUUUUGACUGUGAAAAGUUCAACUGAAUUAAAUUUAAACUUUUAAAAGAAGGAAUCUACAAAUGUUAGACAACUAUGUAAGGGAGUAUUUAGUUCUGAGUUGGUUUAAAACCCAUUCUUCAUCCAGUACCCGUAACAAACAACAGAAAAAGCAUGCUGACAUUUCUUAGCAAAAACUGAUAAAAUGAGUCUAACCACAAUGACAUUUUUCCAGCUGGCAUAAUCAUGAGUCAUUCCUUUCUCUGAGGACUUAAUGUCACCACAAAAGCCUCUAACUUCCCCAUAUUUAUCAUUUGGAAAUGAAAACUGUUUACUUGUCAUGCAUGC